GCUUACAGCCAUACCACCCUUUCUGCACCUGAUUUUGUCUGAUCUCGGAAGCUAAGCAGGGUUGGGCGUGCUUAGUACUUGGAUGGGAGACUGUCUGGGAAUACCAGGUGCUGUAAGCU
This is a ribosomal RNA of Sinocyclocheilus anshuiensis, 119 nucleotides long. NCBI's taxonomy places the organism in Eukaryota, Metazoa, Chordata, Actinopteri, Cypriniformes, Cyprinidae. The record is from Ensembl.